CCUACGGGAGGCAGCAGUGAGGAAUAUUGGUCAAUGGCCGUAAGGCUGAACCAGCCAAGUCGCGUGAAGGAAGAAGGAUCUAUGGUUUGUAAACUUCUUUUAUAGGGGAAUAAAGGUAUCCACGUGUGGAUAUUUGCAUGUCCCCUAUGAAUAAGCAUCGGCUAACUCCGUGCCAGCAGCCGCGGUAAUACGGUGGAUGCGAGCGUUAUCCGGAUUUAUUGGGUGUAAAGGGUGUGUAGGUUGUAUUUUAAGUCAGAGGUGAAAGUUUGUGGCUCAACCAUAAGCUUUCAUUUGAAACAGGAGGACGUGAGUGAGGGAGAGGCAGGCGGAAUGCGGUGUGUAGCGGUGAAAUGCAUAGAUAUACGGAGGAACACCAGUUGCGAAGGCGGCCUACUGACCAUUAACUGACACUGAGGCACGAAAGCGUGGGGAGCAAACAGGAUUAGAUACCCGGGUAGUC
This 460-nucleotide ribosomal RNA is filed under the name uncultured bacterium. Its description in RNAcentral is "partial 16S ribosomal RNA". It matches the Rfam family "Bacterial small subunit ribosomal RNA", at positions 338 to 795 of the family's 1533-position model. The record is from RNAcentral.